Long non-coding RNA from Helianthus annuus (common sunflower), 407 nucleotides. RefSeq lists it as uncharacterized. NCBI's taxonomy places the organism in Eukaryota, Viridiplantae, Streptophyta, Magnoliopsida, Asterales, Asteraceae. The transcript is spliced from 3 exons. The record is from RefSeq and is a predicted model, not a curated record.
CACACACUUAAAGUGUGUGUUCUGGUCGUGACAAUCACAGGAGCCAAGGGAGGGUUCCUUACUCAAACCCUAACUUGCCUAAAUCCAAGAAAUUGAGAGGCCAAAUCAGUCCCAAAUCGAAAUCCAAGCUCGUAUUCAUGAACACCAAGUUGAAAGGAUCACAAGUUUGACGCGUAACAAGCUAGGUGGAAGCUUGGAGUGAAAGCGGGUUAAACAAGUCAAGCAUGGAAGAAAAGCGUAGCUCGGAUGCAAGGUACACCUUGGAUGCCGGAAGACGAUCAAGCUCAGCGAAGAACCGAACACGAUAAUGAUACACGCUUCCGCAUUUUGCUACGUUGUAAUUUUUAAACAACGAAUUCGAUCACGUUAUGUAGAAUAACUUAUGAUUUAUUAAAAGUUUUAAUAAA